Long non-coding RNA from Venturia canescens, 1267 nucleotides. RefSeq lists it as uncharacterized. The transcript has 3 exons. Lineage: Eukaryota; Metazoa; Arthropoda; Insecta; Hymenoptera; Ichneumonidae. The record is from RefSeq and is a predicted model, not a curated record.
ACGUGCUAACUCGCAGAAGAGGGGCUUGUGCUAUAUUUUGUGAAUAGUAUUGUCCUAUGUAUACACGCGAGUUUCGCGUUCCUUCCCGUUGGCGAAUCGUCCCAAGCGCGUUUUGGCAUACUGACAAUUCCGUACAAAACUGUUCUACGGAGCGAGCAACACUUUACGAGAGGCUAAUCCAUGCUACAAGCACGAGCACGCGUGCGACUUCGAGGCAACUGCAAUCUCAGAGGCUUUGAUAGAUGCCGCAAGCUUCGAGCUCGAGAGCAUUCUCGUUUUCCUGACGAGUAGCUCGAGGUCUUUGCAUCGUAUAGCUUUGGACACAACGCCAUCGUGCGGACUAGUACAUUUUGGAGGAAACGCUUGCCCGAAACGGAAACCUCGCUCAAAGGAUCAAUGCUGCGCGGAGGCCGGGCUUAUGGUUCGCAAUUUUGACACGGAGCUAUGCACAAAUAGUGCACACAUUCAUCCAUGCAUAAGUAACGUAUGGCCAAAGCAAAUACUUCUUAUCACAUUUCCGGCCAAUUAUCCCCGCACGAAUAUCAAUGGCUCGCCAAAAUUUCGUGAUUUUUCAAAGCCACGAAUUUUCAUAUCGCUUACCACAAACGUUUUUGUGGCUUUACUAUGAAAAUUAGUGCGAUUUUUUUGCUUCGUUGAUCCGGCAUUUUGGAGCACGACUAUUUUAACUUGUACGGGGAAAUUUUAUGCUCGGGCACUUAUCCAAGUAAGUGGGAGGACUGAACAAUGCCGGGAUCGUAAACCACUGAUUAUCUUUUUUUAUUUUUCGAAAUUUCUCAAUAUCAAAAGCUCCGUUUUGAUAUUUCAGACCGCGCACGCACAACGAGCUCAUAACAAUAAAUUUUAAAUAUUAACGCAUUUUUUUGUACUUUUCAUUGGUUACGGGAGUUCUUCUCAUUCAACCAAAAAUCUUCACUUUCAAUCGAGUUGAAUCUCCAUUUAGUUUCUCCAUUUUCCAACAAUUCAUCGCUCGAGCUCUAGUUAAAUUGAUAUUUCGUGUCUCCUUCUCCGUCAUUACCGAAUAUCGGAUAGUAAAAGAAGCAAAAAACCCGGACUUCGUAUGGGCACCGCAGUUGGUGAGUCAUUCGCGAUGAGAGAAGCCAUAUGUGUUAAAAUCAACGAAGAAAUUGAAAAUUCGAUGAAACUUUUGGCUCGACAACCGACAAAUCAAUUCCACAAACACGAAAACUCUUGAAAAAAAAAAUAGCAUCGAAGAAAAGAGAAUAAAAUGGAAAUUGCUCACUUUUUA